AGUGAACGCUGGCGGCAGGCCUAAUACAUGCAAGUCGAACGGCAGCACAGCAGAGCUUGCUCUGUGGGUGGCGAGUGGCGGACGGGUGAGGAAUACAUGGGAAUCUGCCCAGUCGUGGGGGAUAACGUAUGGAAACGUACGCUAAUACCGCAUGCGCCCUUUGGGGGAAAGCCGGGGACCUUCGGGCCUGGCGCGAUUGGAUGAGCCCAUGUUCGAUUAGCUAGUUGGCGGGGUAAAGGCCCACCAAGGCGACGAUCGAUAGCUGGUCUGAGAGGAUGAUCAGCCACACUGGGGCUGAGACACGGCCCAGACUCCUACGGGAGGCAGCAGUAGGGAAUAUUGGACAAUGGGCGCAAGCCUGAUCCAGCCAUGCCGCGUGAGUGAAGAAGGCCCUCGGGUUGUAAAGCUCUUUUGUCCGGAAAGAAAAGCAUUCGGUUAAUACCCGGGUGUUCUGACGGUACCGGAAGAAUAAGCACCGGCUAACUUCGUG
This 490-nucleotide ribosomal RNA is filed under the name uncultured bacterium. Its description in RNAcentral is "partial 16S ribosomal RNA". It matches the Rfam family "Bacterial small subunit ribosomal RNA", at positions 29 to 507 of the family's 1533-position model. The record is from RNAcentral.